This 493-nucleotide ribosomal RNA is filed under the name uncultured bacterium. Its description in RNAcentral is "partial 16S ribosomal RNA". It matches the Rfam family "Bacterial small subunit ribosomal RNA", at positions 30 to 523 of the family's 1533-position model. The record is from RNAcentral.
AUUGAACGCUGGCGGCAUGCCUUACACAUGCAAGUCGAACGGUAACAGGUUAAGCUGACGAGUGGCGAACGGGUGAGUAAUAUAUCGGAACGUGCCCAGUCGUGGGGGAUAACGUAGCGAAAGCUACGCUAAUACCGCAUACGAUCUACGGAUGAAAGCGGGGGAUCGCAAGACCUCGCGCGAUUGGAGCGGCCGAUAUCAGAUUAGGUUGUUGGUGAGGUAAAAGCUCACCAAGCCUGCGAUCUGUAGCUGGUCUGAGAGGACGACCAGCCACACUGGAACUGAUACACGGUCCAGACUCCUACUGGAGGCAGCAGUGGGGAAUUUUUGACAAUGGACGCAAGUCUGAUCCAGCAAUGCCGCGUGCAGGACGAAGGCCUUCGGGUUGUAAACUGCUUUUGUACGGAACGAAACGGUGAGCUCUAAUACAGUUUGCUAAUGACGGCACCGUAAGAAUAAGCACCGGCUAACUACGUGCCAGCCGCCGCGGUAA